This 437-nucleotide ribosomal RNA is filed under the name uncultured Syntrophaceae bacterium. RNAcentral describes it as "bacterial SSU rRNA". It matches the Rfam family "Bacterial small subunit ribosomal RNA", at positions 941 to 1382 of the family's 1533-position model. Lineage: Bacteria; Pseudomonadati; Thermodesulfobacteriota; Syntrophia; Syntrophales; Syntrophaceae. The record is from RNAcentral.
GUGGUUUAAUUCGAUGAUACGCGAGGACCUUACCUGGCUUAAAUGUAGAGUGCAUGAUGUGGAAACAUUGUCUUCCCUUCGGGGCUCUCUGCAAGGUGCUGCAUGGCUGUCGUCAGCUCGUGUCGCGAGAUGUUGGGUUAAGUCCCGCAACGAGCGCAACCCUUGUCUUUAAUUGCCAUCAUUUAGUUGGGCACUUUAAAGAGACUGCCGGUGUUAAGCCGGAGGAAGUGGGGAUGACGUCAAGUCCUCAUGGCCUUUAUGCCCAGGGCUACACACGUGCUACAAUGGGCGGUACAAAGAGAAGCAACCUCGCGAGGGUGAGCAAAUCUCAAAAAGCCGUUCUCAGUUCGGAUUGAAGUCUGCAACUCGACUUCAUGAAGUCGGAAUCGCUAGUAAUCGCGGAUCAGCAUGCCGCGGUGAAUACGUUCCCGGGCCUU